This is a long non-coding RNA of Empidonax traillii (willow flycatcher), 124 nucleotides long. RefSeq lists it as uncharacterized. The transcript has 3 exons. The record is from RefSeq and is a predicted model, not a curated record. NCBI's taxonomy places the organism in Eukaryota, Metazoa, Chordata, Aves, Passeriformes, Tyrannidae.
UCCCUCGGGAGUUUUCCUUGGGGGAAACACCAAAAGGAACUGUUGUGGACUGCGUUCCCUAAGCCCUGCUUUCCCUGUGACACUAAUCCCUGCUGGAAUUCUUGUCUCUCUUAGUUUUGUCUGC